UGGGGAAUUUUGCGCAAUGGGGGAAACCCUGACGCAGCAACGCCGCGUGAGUGAUGAAGGCUUUCGGGUCGUAAAGCUCUGUCAGAGGGGAAGAAAUGGAACGUGCUAAUAUCACGUUUUCUUGACGGUACCCUCAAAGGAAGCACCGGCUAACUCCGUGCCAGCAGCCGCGGUAAUACGGAGGGUGCAAGCGUUGUUCGGAUUUAUUGGGCGUAAAGCGCGUGUAGGCGGUUUUUUAAGUCUGAUGUGAAAGCCCUGGGCUCAACCCAGGAAGUGCAUUGGAUACUGGAAGACUUGAAUACGGGAGAGGGUAGUGGAAUUCCUAGUGUAGGAGUGAAAUCCGUAGAUAUUAGGAGGAACACCGGUGGCGAAGGCGGCUACCUGGACCGAUAUUGACGCUGAGACGCGAAAGCGUGGGGAGCAAACA
Molecule: ribosomal RNA, 427 nt
Filed under: uncultured Geobacter sp.
Lineage: Bacteria; Pseudomonadati; Thermodesulfobacteriota; Desulfuromonadia; Geobacterales; Geobacteraceae
Description: bacterial SSU rRNA
Rfam family: Bacterial small subunit ribosomal RNA
Source: RNAcentral